CUCUGACUACUGAGAGGACAAAAAAGAGAAAAAGAGAGUAAAUAAGGUCCUCUCUAUAUGAGACGUUACCAGUUCUAGUCCGAAGAUUUUUUGCUGGCAAGUUCUGGUAAAUGUGUCAAAAGAUCAGCUGUAGGGUGUUUUGCAACCAAAUUGUAAACAAAAUAAAAGUGCACUCU
Molecule: long non-coding RNA, 176 nt
Organism: Rhagoletis zephyria (snowberry fruit fly)
Lineage: Eukaryota; Metazoa; Arthropoda; Insecta; Diptera; Tephritidae
Source: RefSeq, a predicted model, not a curated record